AUUGAACGCUGGCGGCAGGCUUAACACAUGCAAGUCGAGCGGGGACUUCGGUCCUAGCGGCGAACGGGUGAGGAAUGCUUGGGAAUCUGCCUUGUAGUGGGGGAUAACGUUUCGAAAGGAACGCUAAUACCGCAUACGUCCUACGGGAGAAAGGGGGGGAUCUUCGGACCUCUCGCUAUAAGAUGAGCCCAAGUCGGAUUAGCUAGUUGGUGGGGUAAAGGCUCACCAAGGCGACGAUCCGUAGCUGGUCUGAGAGGAUGAUCAGCCACACUGGAACUGAGACACGGUCCAGACUCCUACGGGAGGCAGCAGUGGGGAAUAUUGGACAAUGGGCGAAAGCCUGAUCCAGCCAUGCCGCGUGUGUGAAGAAGGCCUUCGGGUUGUAAAGCACUUUAAGCGAGGAGGAAUGGCUCUGGGUUAAUACCCUUGAGCAGUGACGUUACUCGCAGAAUAAGCACCGGCUAACUCUGUGCCAGCAGCCGCGGUAA
RNAcentral lists this ribosomal RNA (488 nucleotides) under uncultured bacterium. RNAcentral describes it as "partial 16S ribosomal RNA". It matches the Rfam family "Bacterial small subunit ribosomal RNA", at positions 30 to 523 of the family's 1533-position model. The record is from RNAcentral.